Oryza glumipatula is the source of this 207-nucleotide non-coding RNA. NCBI's taxonomy places the organism in Eukaryota, Viridiplantae, Streptophyta, Magnoliopsida, Poales, Poaceae. The record is from Rfam.
CAAAAAUACUGAACUCGGUUUUUGUGUUCAACGUUUGACCGUUCGUCUUGUAUGAAAUUUUUUAAUGAUUAGUAUUUUUAUUAUUGUUAGAUGAUAAAAUAUGAAUAAUACUUUAUAUAUGACUUAUCUUUUUAAAUUUUUUCAUAAUUUUUUCAAAUAAGACGAACGGUCAAACGUUAGACACAGAAACCCAGGAAUUGAGUUUUU